AAGCUUUACCACAAAUGUCUACAUUAUUCUUGCUAUGCAUCACUGGGGAAAAUAAAUGGCUGUUAUAUGUUUGCUUUUGUGAUCUUCUAAAGGACUUCCUGAGCAUGCCCUCAUCUUGGAUGUCUGGACGAGAUGGAACAGCCUCUUUCUAACGAUAGAGCGCUUUGUGGAGCAAUACCCUGCCAUCCAGGCAGCUGUGAUGGACCCACGGCUGUGGAGGGGAUUGGACAGAGACAGAGUGCAGACUGCAUUGCAGAGGCUAUCGCAUGAUGAUGAUCUCAGGAAGUGUGAGGACUUCAUAGAAACCAUGAGGGUCCUUUACCAGUCAUCUGAGAAUAAUCCUACUGCAGGCCAUAUCCUCCCUAUCCUUGGCAAGCUUAAGCAGAAUUUCAUGGUGGAGGAUGAGGAUUCUAGCUUCUAGCGAUCAAGGAGAGGGUCUGUGAAGAUCCUUCCUCACGCUACAGCUACAGCCCUGGAUCCUCGAUUUAAAGCCAAGGUCCAUGAUGAGGCUGUGUGGUCCAGUGUGGAAGAAGAAGUGGUCACGCUUAGCAGCAAAAAGCGUGGGGAAGUUGCCCAAGAGCAGCAACUUCAGGAGGAUGAGAAGGAGGAAGAGGAGGAUUGGUGUAGUGAAGACAGGGCCCCAGGAGCAGCAGCAGCAGCAUCUUCACCGCCAGCACCACCACCACAUAUAAGAGACUGAUGUUACUGGCACACUUCUUCUACUGGAACCAGGAAGUGACACGCGGUGCAUUGGAGGAGCCGUGGGCGGGGUCUGGUCAGCAAGGCGGAGCCAAGAUGCAGCAGGCGAAUGACGACGAGGGAGGGAGGUCCGGAGCGGAGUCGAAGGAGCGGUGGAGGAAUGGGCAGGGGGGCAGACUUCCGAAGAACCUGUAGGCUUCCCCUGGAAACUUACGGCACGUAACACCAGGCAUUACAGAUUCAGAGCAAGGUAUCGAAAUGAAGUACCGUCGAGUAUCGUAACGAACACCAAGUACCAGUACCGAUAUCGGUUCAAAUGUGAAAGGUAUCCAACCCUAUUGCUGAUCUGUAUGUUGUGCCAACUUGGCUGCCCCCCAGCAACUGUGAUGCAGUGUGAAGUUUUCCUGUGAGUAUACCCUAAUUUAUUCAUGUGUUAAAUGGUUUGAUAUCUUUAUAUAUUAGGCAAGAAAAGUCAAUUUCCUUACUGCAUUAGAAUGAUGCUUACACCAAUGACACUCAAUCAUGAUUCCUUUGUGGACGCCAGGGUUCUUCCAGUUGUGUGUAAGGAGGGUUAACUUUACAUUAAUAUUUAACUUAACUUCACCAUAAUGUUUUUCUACAGUUUUUUAGAUUUCUUUGGGCAUUCCACGUUAAUUAGUCUAGUUUACCUUUGUUCUUAAAGUUACUGUAGUGUUCACUCAACAUUGAAUGAAAAUCAUCUUCAGGUUCUGAAGCCAAUGCAGAGAAAGAUUCUCUUCCUAGAUUCUAAAUGUUUCCAGGCACCAGGUGGAUUUGGUGCUCAAAGAUACACAGCUCUGUUUAGGUUACAAUAAUGAAAAAAAUAAUUUGUGUUCUGAGAUGUUCACAUUCUUAUGACCAAUCUCACAGAAGUUCCAGCGUGUUGCAUGUAUUUGCCUAAUGCAUGCAUAAGGUCAUGUUCUGACCCUGAGAUUAUUCUUUUGACUGGCCUCUAGAAAGCAAAAGUUAGGUAAGAUGCUUGAUUGUUUUGUUGGUUUUCUUGUUCUGGGAUGGUCACGUUCUUAUGACCAUCCUUCAGAAAGCUUUAAAAUUUAAUUUUCUGUUUUGUUUAGAUUUGUAUGUCUUUGUCUACAAUUGACAGGGAUCUUGCAAAUAGGAUCAAUCCAGGGCAGUGGAGUGAAAAGACCGGACUUAAGUUAGAAGUAAAUAUUAUAUAUUUACAUUUUUACAACAAGCAUGUAGUACAUUAUGUAAGUUUUAACCUCCUGAGUCCCGGGCUUUUGUUUGGUGUGCAUGUUUUAUUUCCUUUAGCUAUUUGGGAUUAGUAGGACCUCAUAAUCAUAAAAACCAAACAUAAUUUUUUUUUGAACAAUUAGUAGUUUUAAAGAAAAAUGAUGUCCUUAUAGGAGGAUGUAGGGUCUCAGGAGGUUAAGCUAUGGCGUGUGUUUGUCUUGCCUACAGAGAAUCAUGUAGGCUUACUUGGCCCAUAGAGAGACCAAUCAGGAUGCCUGCUCAGUCUCUCUGUCUCCAUUUCUUUCUUUCUUUCUUUUUGAGAUCCUUGGGUUCUUAUGAGUUGAGAGGUAGGCCUGAUACCAGGUGGAGGUUUCACCUCUCUAUUCCUGAGGGUCUACAGCCUUCAUGGAGACUUUUUUUUUUAUAAAGCUCCCCUACCCAAGCGCUCAGGAGACCUGCAGUGGAGGAUCCUGCACUGUGUGUUGGGUACCAAAGCGUUUGUGUCGAAAUUCAACCCUGAUGUUACUCCACUUUGUGUUUUCUGUCACAAUGUUGAUACUGUGUUCCACGCUUUUUCUGAUUGUUCCAGAAUGCUUCCACUCUUUCAGCUCCUGAGUCGAGCUCUGAGAGGG
This is a non-coding RNA of Paramormyrops kingsleyae, 2543 nucleotides long. NCBI's taxonomy places the organism in Eukaryota, Metazoa, Chordata, Actinopteri, Osteoglossiformes, Mormyridae. The record is from RefSeq and is a predicted model, not a curated record.